This 518-nucleotide ribosomal RNA is filed under the name uncultured bacterium. Its description in RNAcentral is "bacterial SSU rRNA". It matches the Rfam family "Bacterial small subunit ribosomal RNA", at positions 8 to 518 of the family's 1533-position model. The record is from RNAcentral.
AGAGUUUGAUUCUGGCUCAGGAUGAACGCUAGCUACAGGCUUAACACAUGCAAGUCGAGGGGCAGCAUUGGAGUAGCAAUACUUCAGAUGGCGACCGGCGCACGGGUGAGUAACACGUAUCCAACCUGCCGCUUACUCGGGGAUAGCCUUUCGAAAGAAAGAUUAAUACCCGAUGGUAUAAAGAGUUCGCAUGUUCUCUUUAUUAAAGAAUUUCGGUAAGCGAUGGGAUGCGUUCCAUUAGAUAGUUGGCGGGGUAACGGCCCACCAAGUCUACGAUGGAUAGGGGUUCUGAGAGGAAGGUCCCCCACAUUGGAACUGAGACACGGUCCAAACUCCUACGGGAGGCAGCAGUGAGGAAUAUUGGUCAAUGGACGAGAGUCUGAACCAGCCAAAGUAGCGUGAAGGAUGACUGCCCUAUGGGUUGUAAACUUCUUUUAUAAGGGAAUAAAGUGAGGGACGUGUCCCUUUUUGUAUGUACCUUAUGAAUAAGGAUCGGCUAACUCCGUGCCAGCCGCCGC